Molecule: ribosomal RNA, 208 nt
Filed under: uncultured bacterium
Lineage: Bacteria
Description: partial 16S ribosomal RNA
Rfam family: Bacterial small subunit ribosomal RNA
Source: RNAcentral
CUCGUAGGCGGUUUGUCACGUCGUCUGUGAAAUUCCGGGGCUUAACUCCGGGCGUGCAGGCGAUACGGGCAUAACUUGAGUACUGUAGGGGUAACUGGAAUUCCUGGUGUAGCGGUGAAAUGCGCAGAUAUCAGGAGGAACACCGAUGGCGAAGGCAGGUUACUGGGCAGUUACUGACGCUGAGGAGCGAAAGCAUGGGUAGCGAACA